Molecule: ribosomal RNA, 543 nt
Filed under: Daedalea confragosa
Lineage: Eukaryota; Fungi; Basidiomycota; Agaricomycetes; Polyporales; Fomitopsidaceae
Description: SSU rRNA
Rfam family: Bacterial small subunit ribosomal RNA
Source: RNAcentral
GAACCUCGCAGUGUGUAAAAGCUAACUGAAUCAUAGAAUUUUUUAAAAUUCAUGAUGUCGUAAGGGAAAAUAAUGAUAAUACCUUACUAUGAGUGUCGUCCAAAUCUGGUGCCAGAAGACUCGGUAAGACCAGAGACGCAAACGUUAAUCAUCAUAAACAGGCGUAAAGGGUUUGUAGGCAGCUUUCACCAAACUAUGAUUACAAAAUAAAGUAGUUUAAUUGAAAGCUAGAAUCAAAAAGAGGUUAUAGUGUAUAACGCCUAGAGGAGGGCUGAUAUCCAUAGAUCCUAGGCAGAAUACUCAGGGCGAAGGCCACUCUCCACUACUGAUUGACGCUGAGAAACGAAGGUUAGGGUAGGAAAUAGGAUUAGAUACCCCGGUACUCCUUUCUGUAAACGAUGAAUGGUAGUCAUUAGUUUUAUAACUAGAGACGAAGUUAACACAAUAACCAUUCCGCCUUGUGAGUACUACUGCAAAGUAGAAAACAAAAAAAUUAGUCGGUCUCGAAGCAAACGGAGUGAAGCAUGUUAUUUAAUUCGUAUC